GACGAACGCUGGCGGCGUGCUUAACACAUGCAAGUCGAACGAAGUGGCGAACGGGUGAGUAACGCGUAAUCAACCUGCCCUUCAGAGGGGGACAACAGUUGGAAACGACUGCUAAUACCGCAUACUGAAGGAGGGGAUUGCGUCUGAUUAGCUCGUUGGAGGGGUAACGGCCCACCAAGGCGAUGAUCAGUAGCCGAUCUGGGAGGAGGAAAGGCCACAAGGGGUAUGAGAGACGGCCCUUACUCCUACGGGAGGCAGGAGUGGGGAAUAGUGGACAAUGGACCAGAGUCUGUUACAGAAAUUCUGUGUGAACGAUGAAUUUUUUCGGAAUGAAAAGUGCUUUGAGUUGGGAAGCGGUACCAAAAGAAGAAGUGACGGCUAAAUACGUGCCAGCAGCCGCGGUAAUAC
RNAcentral lists this ribosomal RNA (408 nucleotides) under uncultured bacterium. RNAcentral's name for it is "partial 16S ribosomal RNA". It matches the Rfam family "Bacterial small subunit ribosomal RNA", at positions 28 to 526 of the family's 1533-position model. The record is from RNAcentral.